GGCGGCANUUCUAACACAUNCCAGUCGAACGGUAGCACAGAGGAGCUUGUUCCUUGGGUGACGAGNNCCGGACGGGUGAGUAAUGUCUGGGAAACUGCCCGAUGGAGGGGGAUAACUACUGGAAACGGUAGCUAAUACCGCAUAACGUCGCAAGACCAAAGAGGGGGACCUUCGGGCCUCUUGCCAUCGGAUGUUUCNCAGAUGGGAUUAGCUAGUAGGUGGGGUAACGGCUCACCUAGGCGACGAUCCCUAGCUGGUCUGAGAGGAUGACCAGCCACACUGGAACUGAGACACGGUCCAGACUCCUACGGGAGGCAGCAGUGGGGAAUAUUGCACAAUGGGCGCAAGCCUGAUGCAGCCAUGCCGCGUGUAUGAAGAAGGCCUUCGGGUUGUAAAGUACUUUCAGCGAGGAGGAAGGNGUUGUGGUUAAUAACCNCAGCAAUUGACGUUACUCGCAGAAGAAGCACCGGCUAACUCCGUGCCAGCAGCGGGG
Molecule: ribosomal RNA, 493 nt
Filed under: Citrobacter freundii
Lineage: Bacteria; Pseudomonadati; Pseudomonadota; Gammaproteobacteria; Enterobacterales; Enterobacteriaceae
Description: bacterial SSU rRNA
Rfam family: Bacterial small subunit ribosomal RNA
Source: RNAcentral